CCUACGGGGGGCAGCAGUGGGGAAUAUUGGACAAUGGGGGGAACCCUGAUCCAGCCAUGCCGCGUGUGUGAAGAAGGCCCUCGGGUUGUAAAGCACUUUCAGUGAGGAAGAACGCCUGGUGGUUAAUACCCAUCAGGAAAGACAUCACCCACAGAAGAAGCACCGGCUAACUCCGUGCCAGCAGCCGCGGUAAUACGGAGGGUGCGAGCGUUAAUCGGAAUUACUGGGCGUAAAGCGCGCGUAGGUGGCUUGAUAAGCCGGUUGUGAAAGCCCCGGGCUCAACCUGGGAACGGCAUCCGGAACUGUCAAGCUAGAGUGCAGGAGAGGAAGGUAGAAUUCCCGGUGUAGCGGUGAAAUGCGUAGAGAUCGGGAGGAAUACCAGUGGCGAAGGCGGCCUUCUGGACUGACACUGACACUGAGGUGCGAAAGCGUGGGUAGCAAACAGGAUUAGAUACCCUGGUAGUC
This 465-nucleotide ribosomal RNA is filed under the name Vreelandella stevensii. RNAcentral describes it as "partial 16S ribosomal RNA". It matches the Rfam family "Bacterial small subunit ribosomal RNA", at positions 338 to 795 of the family's 1533-position model. Lineage: Bacteria; Pseudomonadati; Pseudomonadota; Gammaproteobacteria; Oceanospirillales; Halomonadaceae. The record is from RNAcentral.